CCCUUAGAUGUCCUGGGCCGCACGCGCGCUACACUGGCACACGCAACGAGUCUAUCACCUUGGUCGGCAGGCCUGGGUAAUCUGUGAACGUGUGCCGUGAUUGGGAUUGAUUGUUGCAAUUUUCAAUCAUGAACGAGGAAUUCCUAGUAAACGCAGAUCAUCAAUCUGCAUUGAUUACGUCCCUGCCCUUUGUACACACCGCCCGUCGCACCUACCGAUUGGAUGGUCCGGUGAAGCCUCGGGAUUGUGGUUCUUGCCGCUUUAUUGUGGCGUGACCGCGAGAACUUGUCUAAACCUUAUCAUCUAGAGGAAGGUGAAGUCGUAACA
Molecule: ribosomal RNA, 327 nt
Filed under: uncultured eukaryote
Lineage: Eukaryota
Description: partial 18S ribosomal RNA
Rfam family: Eukaryotic small subunit ribosomal RNA
Source: RNAcentral